UGCUGAAGCCAGAGACUCUCCACUGAGAGGGGGAUCCCCCAACUUGGGGAGUCCAGGAAAAAAAAAGAAAAAAAAAGAAAGAAAAGAAUUGCUAGGCUUAAAGGCAGGAUGCUGGUAGUUUGGCCUCCCGGAAGGCCUGUCUUCAACUACCCCACGAAAAGAGCUGUUUUUAUAUCUUUACAAAGAAGACCACGCGUUUCCCCCCCCCCGCCCGGAACCCAUUCCUCCAUCCCACAACACACACAGUCUAGCAAUUCUUUCUUUUCUUUUUGCCUUUUUGUCUUUUUAGGGCCACACCCGCAGCAUAUGGAGGUUCCCAGGCAAGGGGUUGAAUCAGAGCUGCAGCUGCCAGCCUACGCCACAGCCACAGCAACACAGGAUCCGAACCGCUUCUGUGACCUACACCACAGUUCACAGCAGUGCCAGAUCCUUAACCCACUGAGCCAGGCCAGGGAUUGAACCCGCGUCCUCAAGGAUGCUAGUCAGGUUUGUUAACCGCUGAGCCACGACAGGAACUCCUAGCGAUUCUUUCUCACAUCAAAUCCACAUCCCUCCUGCUGCAAGGAAACUACUACCCUUUUCUUGUCAGUCCUUGUCUGAAACAGAGGACAGCUGUUCUCACUUGCGCAAAGCUCUUGAGGACUAAUUGAUCAAGAGGCUGGGGGUGGAGGGUAAAGGAAGAACUGUCUGACCUUGGUUCUGGAUAAGCCCUCAGGGAAAAUGCUUCUCUUCUUCCAGGACCCUAAUGAGCUAAACAGAAGGACAUUCAAGUGGCAGCUCCUAGACUUCACUCCUGGACUUGGAGUGUUACUGUUCAGACUGUUUCUUCACUUAAAAGUGAGUUUUGUGACACAAAAGGAAGGACAGGUAAAGCCAAGAUAUGAACUGGCUGUUUUCUGUAACCUACCGAAACAAGAACGGCACGUGACAUGCCUUUAAAAUCUGUGGAUUUGUUCCAAGGGACGAGUAUGGGUUGAUAAACUGAACAGAGGUUGUCAUCUGAGUGUCUUAGGGGACCUAGCUCAAGUGUCAUGUUCCUGUUUGUUUGGGGCUGUGAGGUUUGUGUUCACAGCUUCAUGGUUAUUCCCAGCACUUAAGGAGAAAAAAACGACCCUACCUGUUCAGUGACUAAUGGGUGGAAAAGAAGUCUGCAAUCCAUCCGGCAGAGUGGCUCAUUCUUUCCCCUCCUGCCCCGAUGCCAUGCUAUUUAGUUAUGAGUGUGUCUUUCCCGUUUUCCCCAUUGGGAUUGCUACAUUCUUGCUGUUGUCUUGGGCAGAUUACCAAAAUGGAGUUUAUGAUUCAUUGACCCAAAUUAUGUUCCCACUGACAAUAUCUGCAGAAAUUCGGUUCAACAAUGGCUUGCUGAGUUUACUGAAAACAUACAUCGCUCCCUGGAAUUCACCCACCCCAAUCAGGCCAACAGAAGAGCAAAUUAAAUCUUAUCUCCUUGGAUGUCCUUGAGGAAGAACAUCCUGGUCUUGGCAGUUCACUGCAUAUUUACAAAAAGCUACGAGAAAGCAAGAUCGUGAACAGGUCUUCUGUGAAUUGCAGUUAAAUCCCUAGGCCUAUGUGAAAGACUUCUCAGUGUGGACAACAACCUAUUUUCCUAAAUCACAACCCUGGGAUGAAGGUCCCAUGCUUGUUUUUUUGUGUGUGUGCGCGAGAAGCAUGGGUAGGCAUUUUUCCCAGCAAGCAUGUGAAGUGCGUAGUAACCAGGCUCUAUCUUUGAUUUCUCUUGCCCAUGAUCCGAGGGAGGAAGCAAAGUAAUAUAAAAGUUAAGAAAGCAAACAUAUAUUGCUUUCCUGGAUAGAUCAACUUCUCCCAUAGUGAUUUUUGCCUUUGUACACUUUGUCUUUGAAUGACAUAAAGUAAAAGGUAAAAUCCUAGUUCAUUAGUUUAUAACCUGUUGAGCAGAGGUGGGUGGAAUCCUUGCAAAGCAAAAUAGAAGCAUGAGGAUGGAGCGGGCAUACUCUGUCCUGUCUUUCCCACUGAAUUCAGUUAUAAAAACUGGAAAGAAUUCAUGAAGCAGCUAUUUAAGGACUGUGGAAAAUAAAUGAUAGCAGGUGGGUUGGGAAAGAAGACCAGAAUUUGAAGUACCACAGAACCAGCACUGAGUUCCCUCCUCCCACUUUUUUCCCCUUGGUGUCCCUUGGCUGGACUCAAAGCAGCCUAAAAACUGAAAGUGAGAAUGAGACAUGAGUAGAGAGUUCCAGGCGAAGCCCUCCACUUCUAGCUCAACAAGCAGAAAGGAAACUCCUAAUGCUUAGCAGGAGUGGAGAAAAUGGUCCAUUUUUCUUUUCUCUGUUUUAUGGUCCCCUAGUCCCCAGACAAUCCUGAGGUGGUGGAGACAUGCCAGAAGUGGGAUCCAUGGCACUAAAACCAUGAGAAAAGGGGACCUCCCACUCUGAUUUGAGGAGCUGUGGUCUCCGGGCAGUGGGCUAUUUCUCUCUGUUCUGCUGCCACUUGGCCCCAGAUGUAGAUGAGCUCACGGAAGUAGGCGGCAGAGCAAGGGAACUAGAGCCCCAGCUCUCAGAUUAAGGGAAUGAAAAAUGGAGCCUCGGGGAGCCAGAAAGUACUGGGGAGUUUGUGGGUAGGGAGGAUCUUGGGACAUUGUUGAUGAAUUCCUGAGCUUAUCCACAAGCUUCGCAUGCAUGAACCUGACUCUAAACAACAUACUACAGACUUUGAAGACUGAACUAUGGGAGAGACCACAGCCCGCAUCCAAGGCUGGCCACAGGGUCAUUACAUGAGGGGCAGAUCAGAGUCGCAUUGCAAAGGCUUUGAAAACUGAAUUGACAUUGGAACCACUCACACAGAAGUAUAUAGCUGGAACAUAUAGCUGGAACAACCCAGCUUAGCUGCCUACUAAACCAAAAGCAUCAGCAAUCUCCAUGGGAUUUAAACAAGACCCAGAGUCUCAUAACAUAAUAUUGAAAGUAUCCAAAAUAUAAUUAAAAAUUUCAAGGCAUACAAUGAACCAAAAACAUUUCAACUUGCAUAGGAAGAGCUAGUCAACAGAUGUCAACAGUAAGAUGAUACAGAUGUUGGAAUAAUCAAAGACUUUAAAGCAACUAUUAUAAGAUUCCUCGAGGAAGUAAGGUAGAACGUUCUUGACUGAAAUAGAAUGGUAGAAAGUCUCAGUAAAGAAAUAGAAUUAUUUAAAAAAAGAAAAGAACAAAAUGGUAAUUUUAGAAUUAGAUAAUACAGUAACUAAACUUCUAAGAAUACAUGGGCAUUCUCGUCAUGGCUCAGAGGAAACAAAUCUGACUAGUAUCCAUGAUGAUGCAGGUUUGAUCCCUGGCCCUGCUCAGCGGGUCUGGGAUCUGAUGAUGCCGAGAGCUGUAGUGUAGGUCACAGACUCGGCUUGGAUCUUUCGAUGCUCUGGCUGUGGCAUAGGCCAGCAGCUGUAACUCGAUUUGACCUGGGAACUUCUAUAUGCCACAGGUGUGGCCCUAAAAAGCAAAAUAAGAUAAAAUAAAAAAUACAUGGAUGGAUGUAAAUCAACUAUAAUAAAUUUUUUAAAUAAACAGGAAAAGAUAUUAAAAAUAUAUGGAUGGGUCCAUUUUAUUUAUUAUAUUUAAAAACGGCAGAAUGGAGAUGCUAGAGGAAAGAAUCAAUGAACUUGAAAAUAAAGCAAUAGAAAUCAUCUAAUCUCAACAACAGUAAAGAAAAAAAUUGAAAACAAACAAAAAAGAGGAGUACCUCAGGGACAUAUGGGACAUUGCCAAAGUCAUUGGACAUUUUUAGGUCUAAUAUUGAUGUCAUUGGCAUCUUAGAAAGAGAACAGAAAGAAUGCAGUGCAGAAAAAUUAUUAGAGGAAAUAACGACUUGAACUUUCCAUAUUUUGUGAAAGACAUAUUUUUUUAAUGGCUGCGCUCAUGGUAUUUGGAAGUUUCUGGGUCAGGGAUUGAAUCCAACCCUCAGCUGUGGCAACGCUGGAUCCUUUAACCCACUGCGUCAGGCCAGGGAGUGAACCUGCACCUCUGCAGCCAUCUGAGCCACUGCAGUCGGAUUCUUAACCCACUGCACCACAGUGGGAACCCCCAAAGAUAUUAAUAUUUAGAUUCAAGCCGUUCAGCGAACUUGCAAAAGCAGAAAUCCAAAGACAUCCAUAUCAAGAGACACUAUAAUUAAAUUGUUGAAAACCAAAGGAAAAAAAAAUCUGGAAGCAGCUAUAGAGAGAGGACACAACAGGAUAUAAUAAAGAUAAGAGCAGAAAUCAAGGAUAAUGAAAACAAACAAACAAACAAACAAACAAAAAAAACGAGAGAGAACAACCUAAAAGUUGGUUCUUUGAAAAGAUAGAUUAAACCGCUAUCCUUACCUCUGUCUUUGUCUCUCACAACCUCAGCUUCUGGAAGCUCCAUUCCUUUCUCUCUCCAUUUCCCCAUGUAGAGGGUCUCUUCUCUCUGUGUUGCCUUUGUCUUUUUCUCCUUUCUCCUCUUUCCACAAAUCCCUUCCAGCCAGACGAAAACUUGCCCUUCAUCAAAAUCUUUACCACCAGUUCCUGCUCAGGCCCUUCAUGGGCACCUCUGCCCAUCAGAGCCCUGACACUGAAGCCCAGACAACUGCAGGGUCAAAACGCUUCCAGGUGACUUGGUUUAAACCUGGGACCGAUACUCAGAGCCAGAGGGUUUGGAGUAUGUUCUCUUGUUCUCUGAAGUACUUACCCAAAAUUCCUUACUCCAGAAGGCUCCCUUGUGGCGCAGCAGUUUAAGGGUCCAGUGUUGCCGCAGCUGUGAUGCAGUUUCAGUCCCUGGCCUGGGAAUUUCCAUGUGCCUCAGAUACAGCCAAGAUAAAAUAAAAUGAAAUAAAAUUUUUAAUCCAUGAAGACAUUUCCAUGUGAAACCUUUAUCCAUUUAUUCCUUCCCAAAGGUGGAAUAUUUUCAAAGCACAGAGGACGACUGCAAAUCAUUGUUGCCAAACAUUCUAGUGUGGAUUCAAGAUAUUAGAAAAUAUAAGAAUGUUACCGUGUCCUCACAUCAUAGGAGAGCGUAUCUUUUUAUAUCGAGCUCUCUCUUACUUUGAGGGUGAUAAUUGAUCUUUUGUCAUUAACUGGCCUCAGACUUAUUGAGAAGCAACUACGUGCAGAGCACAAUGAACAUUUCGAGAAACUGCUCUUGACUUUUAAAAGAUUUGUUUGCAGAGCUACGUCCUGAAAGAGCAAGGCGUUAUUGCCUGCUUCUCCAGA
Molecule: long non-coding RNA, 5191 nt
Filed under: Sus scrofa (pig)
Lineage: Eukaryota; Metazoa; Chordata; Mammalia; Artiodactyla; Suidae
Description: lncRNA (ENSSSCG00040068199.1)
Source: RNAcentral